AUUUCAUUUAAUAACAUUGUAGAGGAAAUUUGAUAAUAUGAAAUUAUGAAGAAUAUACGAAUGCAUUCCAGUUUACAUAAAGAGUUGGAUUGGGUUUACAGAAUAGAGAAAAAUGAAAAUAAAUAGCAUAAUAAAGCAAAAAAUAGAGAAUAACGGGGGCUCACUUAUAAAGAGUAUAGAACAAUGGCCAAAAAUAAAGACUACAAAAAUACAUAAAAAGAUUAAAACAUAUAGAAUUGAAGGAACCUCCAUCCAGAACCACUUACAAAAUAUUAGAUUGAAAAUUGGUACGCUAAUAUCAUAUUGUAUUGCACGUAAUAUAUAUGAUAAUAAACUAAUGUAGAACAUGGAUGUUAUAUCUAUGAGGUUGACUCUCCCUCUGGUUUCUUUCGUACCUCUUUUAUAUACAUAUUAUAUUUUACCAUUGCCUCCAGAAAAAAGUAAAAACACAAAAAUACUGAACUCCGAGGAAAAUUCAAAAAGGAAA
RNAcentral lists this long non-coding RNA (487 nucleotides) under Mytilus galloprovincialis (Mediterranean mussel). Lineage: Eukaryota; Metazoa; Mollusca; Bivalvia; Mytilida; Mytilidae. The record is from RNAcentral.